UCACUUCUUAUAUAUCUUCCUGCCAUUUUUUAUGCUAACAUGGCCUUUAUCCUCUGGCCACGCUAUGAAACUACAAUACACACCGUCUGCAGUUAUUAAAAACACAACUCAACACACAAUAAUGCACUAUCAAAUUUCACCUAGCACAAGGUUUCUCUCUCUCUUGUUCAUCUCCAGUUCAGCUUACAAAUUGCUUUCGAAGGUUGUUGCCCCUUUCUGGUUGCUACCAGUAAAGUUUAGUUCUUUCUGAAGUUUUGGUUGGUGGGUAUGUUCUGAUUUUUCGUUCUAGUCUUUCUGUUUGGGUAAGUUUUGAUUUUCCUUGUUGAGGUUAGAUGUGGUUUGUAGUUUUGAAUUUUGAUGAUUUUGGGUUCUUAAAUUUUGUUAAUUUUUUGCAAGGUUAGGCCUAUAUGUUGCUAAAUUUAAAGGUUAGAUAUUUUUCCUCUUUUUAAAGUUUUUCUUCUUGGUUGCGUUUGAUUUCUGAUCAUAGUGUUUCUGUUUGAUAAAUUAAUGAUUUCUGUGGGGUUGAAUGCACAGGUUAUAGUCUUAAAUUUAUGAUGAAUUGAGGUUCCAUUAAGGUUGAUUGUUUUGGUUUCUGUUUGAGAUUUUGGUUUAUUUGAUCUGAUCAUGAUUUUUUUCUGUGAUGUCUCUUGUGAGUUUUGGAUUGCAUGUGGCUUGUUGAGGCCUUCAAGAAGAGGGCUUUUGCGUUUCUGACAUCAGCAUUUACUUUGCCAUUUUGGUUUUCGAGUCUCUCUCCAAUGUUUUCAUUUAUUGUUUUUUGAGUUGAUUCUUGGUAUUCAUGAUUUUUUGGUCAAAGGUACUUUACUAUCUUACAACUUUAAGAAAUUUUUAUCAAAAGGGGUCUUUUCACAUCAGCAUUCUGUUAGGACAAAGGUUUAUAUUAGGAUGAAAGGAAAGAAGGCAAUGGGUGUUGGGGAAACAAGUGGCAAAGCUGUAGAGUCUACAAUUGGUGAGCAUCCAGUAUUAAUAAGUGGCAAGCAUUCCAAGAGGAGACAGGCAGCAGACAAAGCAGGCAGCCAUGAAGAAGCAGAAUUCAGGCCAUCAAAUGAGGGGUCCACUGAGGUCCCAAGUGCUGAGGUGGCUGCUCAAGAGAAGGGAGUUGGUUAUGGAAGAUAUGAUGAAAUAGACAGUGAGAAGGAAAAGGAGGGCAGAGAGAAAAUUGCACAAGAAUGAGGAAAAGGAGAGACCAACCUCUCGAAUUGCUGGAGCAAGAGUUCUUCUACAGUUGUUUCAAUUAAAUCUAGUUUAUGUUAUGUUUAUGCUUAUGCUUUGGUCUUGCUAGUAAAGAAUCCAUUGUCAGCAAGAAGUUUCUAUUGUAUUCCCCAAACUUCGAAUUAAUACAAAUACUAUUUUCUA
Molecule: long non-coding RNA, 1374 nt
Organism: Mangifera indica (mango)
Lineage: Eukaryota; Viridiplantae; Streptophyta; Magnoliopsida; Sapindales; Anacardiaceae
Exons: 3
Source: RefSeq, a predicted model, not a curated record